This 232-nucleotide ribosomal RNA is filed under the name uncultured bacterium. RNAcentral describes it as "partial 16S ribosomal RNA". The record is from RNAcentral.
CCUCCGGGGCCGGGUGCGUCCUGCCGCCUCUGCCCGGGGGCCCCUCCGCCGGACACUGCUACCUACCCGCACUACCGUCCCUACCGGGACGACCACGCACGGGGACUCUUCGGACCCUUGCGCUGACCUGACUGACGCCUACCGUCGGACUUACGCUACGCUUGGUGGGGUNCCACGGCCUACCCCCGGCGACCGACUCUGUACGCGGGUCUUGACGACGGACUGACUCCGC